This 253-nucleotide ribosomal RNA is filed under the name uncultured bacterium. RNAcentral describes it as "partial 16S ribosomal RNA". It matches the Rfam family "Bacterial small subunit ribosomal RNA", at positions 524 to 776 of the family's 1533-position model. The record is from RNAcentral.
UACAGAGGUCUCAAGCGUUGUUCGGAUUCAUUGGGCGUAAAGGGUGCGUAGGUGGCGCCGUAAGUCAGGUGUGAAAUUUCGGAGCUUAACUCCGAAACUGCAUUUGAUACUGCGGUGCUUGAGGACUGGAGAGAAGACUGGAAUUUACGGUGUAGCAGUGAAAUGCGUAGAGAUCGUAAGGAAGACCAGUGGCGAAGGCGGAUCUCUGGACAGCUACUGACACUGAGGCACGAAGGCCAGGGGAGCAAACGGG